RNAcentral lists this ribosomal RNA (355 nucleotides) under uncultured bacterium. Its description in RNAcentral is "bacterial SSU rRNA". It matches the Rfam family "Bacterial small subunit ribosomal RNA", at positions 1037 to 1391 of the family's 1533-position model. The record is from RNAcentral.
GGUGUUGCAUGGCUGUCGUCAGCUCGUGUCGUGAGAUGUUGGGUUAAGUCCCGCAACGAGCGCAACCCUCAUCCUUAGUUACCAUCAGGUAAUGCUGGGGACUUUAAGGAAACUGCCAGUGAUAAACUGGAGGAAGGUGGGGAUGAUGUCAAGUCAUCAUGGCCCUUAUGGAGUGGGCUACACACGUGCUACAAUGGUGGCUACAAUGGGCUGCAAAGUCGCGAGGCUAAGCUAAUCCCUUAAAAGCCAUCUCGGUUCGGAUUGUACUCUGCAACUCGAGUGCAUGAAGUUGGAAUCGCUAGUAAUCGUGGAUCAGCACGCCACGGUGAAUACGUUCCCGGGUCUUGUACACACC